CAACAGCUACGUGCGACGUUGUCGCUUCUCCAACCAGCUUCGACUCCGAAAAUUGUAAUUUUAGAACUGCCCUUCUGGGAUCCAUGCAGGAAUUAUCUGAGCAUGGUGAAGAGGAGGGACGUGUUCCGAUGAGUAGAGAGCAGAAGCUGCGAUGGUUCUCGUCAUAAGAUCCUGAGCAUUCACAUUCAGGGCUCUAAAACUACCACACGAGUCGACGACUGUUUUAACUUAACCAUAAGAA
RNAcentral lists this ribosomal RNA (241 nucleotides) under Gracilaria robusta. RNAcentral's name for it is "partial small subunit ribosomal RNA". The record is from RNAcentral. Lineage: Eukaryota; Rhodophyta; Florideophyceae; Gracilariales; Gracilariaceae.